UACGUAGGUGGCAAGCGUUGUCCGGAGUUAUUGGGCGUAAAGCGCGCGCAGGCGGUUGGAUAAGUCCAUGGUGAAAGCGCCUGGCUCAACUAGGCGAGUGCCGUGGGGACUGUUCAGCUGGAGUGGAGCAGAGGCGAGUGGAAUUCCGGGUGUAGUGGUGAAAUGCGUAGAGAUCCGGAGGAACACCAGAGGCGAAGGCGGCUCGCUGGGCUUUGACUGACGCUGAGGCGCGAAAGCGUGGGAGCGAACCGG
This 252-nucleotide ribosomal RNA is filed under the name uncultured bacterium. RNAcentral's name for it is "partial 16S ribosomal RNA". It matches the Rfam family "Bacterial small subunit ribosomal RNA", at positions 524 to 776 of the family's 1533-position model. The record is from RNAcentral.